RNAcentral lists this unclassified non-coding RNA (733 nucleotides) under Hevea brasiliensis (rubber tree). The record is from RNAcentral. Lineage: Eukaryota; Viridiplantae; Streptophyta; Magnoliopsida; Malpighiales; Euphorbiaceae.
AAAAAAAAAAAAAAAAAGCAAAAACAGAGAAGCAGAACUGUAACAUGUGCAAUAAGUAUUCUAUAAUGUGAGUCACAUUAGAGCCUGUUUGGAUUUGGAGCAUUGUUUAAUGUGUGGCCCUCCAUCUUCCUAAAUUGUGGCUUUAGUUUGAGAUUGACAUUUUGUUCACGGGGUAACAUUUCUAAGGAUUGAAAGCUAACCUACAUGGAUCAGUUUCAAUGGGCUAUAGUUGAAAGUGGAAGCAUCUAUGAGUAAAAUAAGAUGAGUGACUCAGUAGGUUAUAUUAGUAAUGUUCAAGUGCUCAUUUGAGAAAUUUUAGAAGUAAAUGUGGUUAAGGUUUUGACACUAGAGGAUAAAAGAAUUUUUUGCUGUCAUUUAGUAUCGUGAAGUUUGUUCAUUGUCAUUUGGGUUAUGAAUUAGGUUAAUAGUUAAACAUAAUCUCUUGACUAAGAUUUAAUUGAUAUGCAAUAAAAGUAGUAGUAAUAGGAUGUAAGAAAAAGAAAUCAAAUGCAUAAAAUUUUGAUGGUGGUUUAGCGUAGCCAAGCCUAUGUCCAUUCCUUAGACUUCCUCUUUGAAGUGUUUUCUUCUACCUAGCGUUAUCUGUGUGCUUCGGGCGCUGAUUUAGCAUAUAUUUCAGCUGCUCUGUGAUUUUGCUAUCUUGUUUGCAAUAUAAUUUCCAAAUUUGUGUAUUGCAUGCAUGUAUUUGGGCAUCUUAUGAAAUAGUUUAUGCAGG